Molecule: transfer RNA, 76 nt
Filed under: Erwinia phage Cronus
Lineage: Duplodnaviria; Heunggongvirae; Uroviricota; Caudoviricetes; Pantevenvirales; Straboviridae
Also listed under: 1 other name
Description: tRNA-Ile
Rfam family: tRNA
About the family: Transfer RNA (tRNA) molecules are approximately 80 nucleotides in length. Their secondary structure includes four short double-helical elements and three loops (D, anti-codon, and T loops). Further hydrogen bonds mediate the characteristic L-shaped molecular structure. tRNAs have two regions of fundamental functional importance: the anti-codon, which is responsible for specific mRNA codon recognition, and the 3' end, to which the tRNAs corresponding amino acid is attached (by aminoacyl-tRNA synthetases). tRNAs cope with the degeneracy of the genetic code in two manners: having more than one tRNA (with a specific anti-codon) for a particular amino acid; and 'wobble' base-pairing, i.e. permitting non-standard base-pairing at the 3rd anti-codon position.
Source: RNAcentral
GGGAGUAUAGCUCAGCUGGUAGAGCACCGAGCCGAUAACUCGUAGGUCGCAAGUUCGAAUCUUGCUACUCCCACCA